This is a non-coding RNA of Acanthosepion pharaonis, 114 nucleotides long. The record is from the annotation of a GenBank genome assembly. NCBI's taxonomy places the organism in Eukaryota, Metazoa, Mollusca, Cephalopoda, Sepiida, Sepiidae.
UUACGACCAUAUUCACGUUGAAGCACCAGUUCUCUUACGAUCACCGAAGUUUAAACAACGUUGUGCAUGGUGAGUACUUAGAUAGGAGACCACUUGGGAAUAUCAGAUGAUGUA